CCGGGACCCCAGGUCAGGCGGGACUACC
RNAcentral lists this ribosomal RNA (28 nucleotides) under Arrhenatherum elatius subsp. elatius. RNAcentral describes it as "partial 26S ribosomal RNA". Lineage: Eukaryota; Viridiplantae; Streptophyta; Magnoliopsida; Poales; Poaceae. The record is from RNAcentral.